UUCUUUUUGCCCAGAAGCGAAAAGAGUAUGCUCAGAACGACGGGUAAGAAAUCCCUAUAUUGCCGCACAUGUCGCUUCUUUCUUUGGGGUUUAAUUGUUGUUGUAGACAUAUUUUUUGAGGGCUUUUUGUAGACAUAAUUUUGUAUAUAUUUGAACAUGGACAUCAGAAGCUUGAGAGUUGGCAGAAAGAAAAUUCUACUACAUCCUUGUUUAUAGCAACUGUGUAAAAGACCAUAGCCUUUUCGAUUUGCUCUCCUUUCGUGAAAAUAAUGUUUCCAAUGACCCUGGUGUGCUUCAACUGUUAACCCGUGUUUUUAAAACUAGACGAUUCCCCGCGCGUUGCUGCGGGACAUAUUGCAUAAAUUUAGUGUUUUACUCAGUAAAUUAAUUCUCGUAAAAGAAUUAGAAAAACAAUGAACAAAUGUCUUUUAUUUGACAAAAAUAAUAUAUAGGCUACCAGCUCCGCUUCUUUUGCAAGGGAAGAAAACUUCGAAGCUGCAGCUAAAAGAUCACCACAAAGCUAUAGCGCACCGGCCUCACCUCGUGUAGACACUCAUGCACCGUCAACUUUGUCAUGUUCCUCACCGCCGCCGGGGAAGGUUUCUUCUUGGGUACUGGUGUUGGCGGUUAACAUGGUAGACGCUCUUGUUGCAUGUAUAGCAGUGGCGAUCAACAGGGCCGAGCUGGAGAAAAUCAACUCUGGUACAUAAUUUUAACAAUAGUGCAAACAUAUUUAGUUCAAUCCCUCUGACGGUAAGGUACUUCAAAAUUCUUUGCAUGUAAGAUUCAGAAAAACAAACGACACAUCACCAUAUGACAACAAAUGAGGGACGAUCAAGUUCUUCCUGAGUUAAUACACUCACAAUUAUUGAUGCCACUUGUAAGGAAAAGUUGACGGUAGUAGAAUAAUUCAUCCUACCUCUAAUCCUGCAUAGCACAUGCAAAGUAACCAGAUGUGACAUCAAAUUAUGAAGUGAAAAUAAUAAAUGUAACCUGGGAUUAAACCUUCUGCUAUUUUCUUCUCGAUGGUUACGGAAAUUCAAAAGUGCGAGGUUGGACUUCUUGUGAUGUUGCUUUUCGUUUGGGAAGAUGUGUCCAUUUGUGAUCAACGAUGUACCUGUAGUUGGCAGAGGGAUUCUCCACUUCACGAAAAGUUUGUGAAAGGAAUUAGGAAAAAAUGUAUGAAUAUAAACACCUUCAGAAAAACAACUUUUUAACUAAUCAUUAAUAUGAUUAGGUUGUGUUCUUUGUGAUGUCUUUUGACAAUGAUUGUGGGUGGAGCUGACCAGGUCGGCGCUGCACGGAUGCUUGACCGCUCUAGGAUUGAGUGCAGGCUGCAGCGUCCGUGCUUUGGCCAUGUGCUCUUACUGUCACCUAGGUUGUAGAGAGCUGAAGCAUCCACGCAAACAUGUGCCACUUUGUGAGAAAUCAGACGAAUUUUGUGGUUACGAACGUGCUAAUCUUGUACUACCAAUUAUAGCCUGACAAGCAUCCAGUUCUGCCACCGAGACCCUCAUUCUCAAAUUAGCCUAGCAAGCCUUCAGUCCCAUAGAGUCGAGACCUGCCUUGCCCAUCAGCGAUCAGACCUGCUGUCCACUAUCACAGCCUACGAGGUUGUGUUUUUCUUUCACAAUUUUACACCUGAUGCACUGUCAUUGGUACUACCUGCUGCUCACACUAUAGAGAUGGUAAUCCGUACAAAGAUUUUCUUCCGACCCUGAUGCCUGUGCAUCCCGGUAACUUCAGGUAGCUCCGCCUCCGGCGACCAAUCUGUUGUUGGUUGAUUUGUACCAAGCGAAUCAGCAAAGAUGUCAAUCGCUAAACUCACUAAUAGAAAUAGGACAAUUCAAAAAAUACUAACAGAAAUAGGGUAGAAGGUGAGCUUAAUUUUGAAUCCACGAGAGCAAAAGGAAAGGCCAAAUUGGCCUCCUACCAAUUUCCACACGGGCGAUGCAAGAAGAGGGCACCACGGAUGACAUAGCAUGGCUGCUCUCCCAUGAUCUGCAACUUCUCCGCGAUCGUAGGUCGAUGGCGCGGCGCGGUGCGCCGGUAGUUCGUGGUGACCUAACCUAGCGGCAAUGCGCAGGCGGGCGGCAGAAGGAGGUGGGGGCAGAGGCGCAGUGCACCGUGAUGCAGUCGAGGGCUUGAGCAGAGAAAGAUGGGAGAGAGAUAUGGAUGGAUGGAUCGGGAGAGGAGAGGAGAGGAGACAGGGAAUUAAGGGGUUAACCCAAUGGCCACAUGCGGCCCCUUGUGCGAUUUUAUGACUGGGAUUAAACCGCGCCCAUGGAAGAAGGAAACUGUUUAGACUGGCUCAUCCCUCGGUUAUGGAAACGGAAGAGAAUCACACAGAGAAAUCUGUUGAUUUUUUUCCUUGGUGUGGAGACGUGAAUUUCUGUCCCUGGGAGCCGGAUCCGAGGAAAGUGGAGCAAACGCUAUUCGGCUACCCCAGUACCCCGUGACUAAUCAGAAAGGACCACAUGAUUUUAAUUAUGGUAGCCUGGAGGAUUAUGAGUGCAGAAUAAAAAUAGCAUGCAUGCAAAAUCAAAAGGAUUAGCAAAUGGAGGGUCAGUGCUGAUGUGUCCAUAGAAGCAUGGUUGCUGAUGUGGAUAGGCUGCAUGCUUAGUUAAAUAGGUUAGUGGGGAUGAACUAUUAUAGUAUUAUAGAUAAUACAGCAUCAUUGUAAAGUACUUGUGUAAAAAAUUCACUCCAUAGAGAUUGCCCACUUUCAUGCAUGAAGUAUUCGAAAGUGAUCAUGAUAAAUUGAUAAGGGGAAAAUAUAAGAAGAUUGGUGUUGUGGUGAAAAUAGUAAUGCUGUGCGAGUACUGGUUGUUUACAAGGCAGUUUAAUUGUAUUAGACCUUCUACAUUUGCACUACCUUUGUUUUAACAAUAUAUGAAUAUAGCAUUUGAUGCUCUUUUUAACCCAGUUACCACAAACAUACGUUCAAGUUAUCACAAGAAUAAAUACAUAACAAUUACAUGGUUGUUUGACCAUGUAAAAUGCACAUUGGCAAAGAAUAGUGGAUGAUAAAUCGUCAGAAAUUGCUCUUGGCCAAGUAAAUCACAUUAACAUUCAAGCCUUUUGCACUGGCAUUUUUUUCUCUCCCAUCUUAUCUAGAUGCAGUACCUGCAAGGCCGGCUGCAACCACAUCAGCUUGCUCCUUGAGCCGGCUUGACAAGGGUGUUCUUAACUCUGGAAUAUGUUCACCUGCCAUGCAUGAGCAUAGCAUCUGCAUCUGCAUGGAUGUCCAUGAUCUUUUCCCUCCUGUACUUCUUGCUCUUAGCUCUGUGGUUUCUUCCUGCGUCCUCUUUAUUUUCUGCCUUUUUCCUUUCUCUCUGGUUCAUUGUUCAGACUAGUUUGCUGAUCCGGGUUUGCAUGGCUCAGGCUAAGCCAAAUGCCCUUUCGAGGACCGAUGGCUGGUAGCAUGUUACAAGUCUGGAAUGUGUUGUUUUACCACGAAUGGAUUGGCACCGCAUGCAUCUGCAUCUUCAUCUUGAUUAGUCUGAACAAUGAGCAGGCAAAGCAGAUGGACGGCAGAUAUCUGCGCCUUUGACCUAUGUCUAUGUAAGAUAUUGCUACAUGGACCGGAGGACGACAUAAAUCAUAUAUAUGCUCUAAUAGGCAUUUUAUGUAGGAAAACAUAGAAUGUAGCAGAUGUUGCCAACUCCAAUCACAUGCACUCUGGAACAGGGACAGGCCCUACAAAACAGAUAUUCUGAUAUUUCCACAGUGCAAAAAGAUCUCACACCAUAAAACAACAAUGAGAACACCUGCUAGGCUGCUAGCUGCUAAGCACCCCCCAAAAAAAUCAAAUCGCUGUGAAGCGACAAAUUGGCUGCAUCAGAGAAAGAGAAGUAACUGGCUAAGCAGAGCCCAGCCCUGAAAUGAUGAAUCUUCGAGCGUUCUUCUUCAUCAACAACACCUCUGGUUCGGGCACCGACACGGUCUCCCCUCUCCAGACAUAUAUCCAUAAUACCACUUUUCUUCUACAUAUAUUGUGAGUUGUCAGCAUCGCGCGCAUCCUACGGGAACGAGUGAAGAGGGAAAAUAUACGGCAAGAGGCAGUGAAACCGAGAGGUACACUCACUUGCACUUUGCACGGCCCUUUGUCUCGACCCAUCGUGUGCGGCGUGCAUUAUCCUGGAGCAAAUGGUGGAUGGUCGAUGAGCCCAAGCGUCCCCAUUCCUCACCAUCCAUCUAGAGAGAGAUUGUGUAUGUGUGUGUGAGGGAGAUAGAGACAGAGUGAGAGAGGGACUGCACAAGGUGACAGAAUUGGGAGAUCGGGAGAGAUGAUAAGAUGGCUGCAGGGGCAGGCCAUGGGCUUGCCGAUGACGGUGACAGAGGAAACAUUUCGACUGUUCAAUAUAUCUACUCUGGUGUCUCAACGUUUCGCACUGCUGCUUUUGCUCGUUUGGUUGAUGUGGUUUGCAGGAUACCACCACAUCAGUAGAUCUCCUGUAGGGUUUUUUGGGUGCUUCUUUGACAGCAAUUUGAAUAUAUUGUUCUACACGGGUCCAUCAAGAGAUAUGUUGGGCUAUCUAGGGAUGGCAACCGGAGGGCUAUUUUCAGUGUGGGCUCUUGUUUGCUCCCGUCCGGAAAUGAAUAUUUCUUGUUUAAGUCUUGGUAUUUUGUUCAGCUAUCAAGAAACAUUCUGUCACACAACUCUUUCUCGGUCGGAAGUCUUCGCCGUACAGGGCUCCAAAGAGAGCGGGUUUUCACCACAACGAUCCCAGUGGGGGCCUAACGAGUGUCUAAAUGUUAGUGGUGCCGAGUUUAUCUCGUAGGUUGAUGCUACGAGAUCGGUCCACUGCCUACUUCGACAUAAGCGUAGUAUCGGUCCUAUAUUACUUCACUGCUGUUGAUAUGUUUUUUUAUUUUUUUAUUUUGUCAGACUGUUGGUUUUUGGCCUUGUGCAUCUUAGCCAUGCAGAGGUCGGGUGCUGCUCAUCAUGCUUUGUAUUCGCUUGAUGCUAUAUUUUGAGUUAAUAAAAGUGUCCUUUAUCAAAAAAAAAUCCUGUAGGUUGAUGCAGUACUGUCAAAACAAGUACUCGCUCGUACAAAGUUGCACUAAAUCAACAACACUUAUUUUAGAAUAGAGGAAGUACACUCGUUGCCCCAAAAAAAGAAAAAGAAAACUUGUUGUGAUCCAGGCUGGAAAGGGAGGCUGAUGCCCAUCGCGGGCAGGUGCGUGCUAGUUCGAUGUGUACUCUCAGCCAUGCCCACUUUUGCCAUCACAGUACUGCGGGCACCGAAGAAGUUCUGUAAGGAAGUUGACAAGGCCAAGAGGCGGUUCCUUUUGGCGCAAGACGAGGAGGUCACCGGUGGAAAGUGCAAGGUUGGCUGGCAGGCGGUCACCGCGCCGGAGCGCGCCGGGGGUCUGGGCAUCCAUGACCUGCCAAAGUUCGCUCGAGCCCUGCGGCUCCGAUGGCUCUGGCUUGCCUGGACGGAGCCAACCCGCCCUUGGGUCGGCACAAGCACCCCUUGCGACGCUACCGAUCGUGCCCUGUUCGCUGCUUGCACGGCGGUCACCAUCGGCGACGGCGCAACGGCGUCCUUCUGGUCCUCCUCGUGGCUUGGCGGUAGGCAGGUAUGUCUGGCAUACCCGACGGUGUUCGCCCAAUCCAUCCGCAAAAACAUAUCAGUCCGGGAGGCUCUGCACCAGGACAGAUGGAUCCUGGAUCUCCGUCAUGGUGACCAUGAAAACAUCAUGCACCUGGUGCUGCAACUUGCUAGGGAGAUGAGAAGCGCCGGAAUCAUUCUUGAAGAGGGGAGGGCAGACAAAAUCAGAUGGACCCUGUGCAGCUCUGGCAAGUACACCGCGCGCUUUGCCUACGAAGCUCAGUUUGAAGACUGCCCGACGCUCAAUUUCAAAACAUCCAUCUGGAAGGUCUGGGCUCCGGGCAAGAUGAAAAUGCUUCUAUGGCUGCUGCAUUUGGAUAGGCUUUGGUGUAAUGACAGACUCCAGAGAUGCGGCUAGGACAACAACUACUUCUGUCAGUUGUGUGUACGGAACCUUGAGACCUCGUCACACCUCUUCUGGGAGUGCACAUUCGCCAUUCAGGUUUGGAACAAAGUGGCAACCUGGGUUGGCUGCAACGCACUGGCACACAUCAACUGGAGCACAGGCUAAACAACGACCGAGCGCGUCCACAUGAUCAUCGAUGGAGCAGCCCCAGGUUCAAGGAAGGGAAUCCGAUCGAUACUCUCCUUGGUUGUCUGGCACAUUUGGCUAGAGCGCGACGCGAGCACCUUCAGGGGGAAGAUCCCAAGCGUGAACAACAUCAUUGAAGCCUGCCGCCGGGACAUUGAGCAAUGGAGGAUUGUCGGAGCCAAAUGCAUCCAGCACCCCUUCGGGGACGUGCCAUGAAAUAUCGCGAUAAUGUUGAUUCGCUAGCUUAGGAGCCCGCUAAUAUGGCAGUGUAUUUUUCUCUUACAAUCCAUUGAUCGCUUGAUCAGCCACUGUUUUUCCGCUCUCUCCUGGUUAUGAAAUGAAAGCCAGAAAAUGGCCACUUAAAAAAACAAAAAACAAAAACAUGGUCCUGAGAUUCAGGUAAAACCCAUGUGAAGUGUAACACAAGGAGAUAUAGCCGAGUAGAGGUUUUAGUACAUUGCAUAUUGUGUGCAGCGCGUGUAGCACAGGGGUCUAGGUUGCAGGUACACAACCUCUCGGUAGCCGGGCUACAGUUUUUUUUUCAAAACGGAGGCAAAAGAUUUGCCUCAUUCAUUAUAUAAGAGAGAAGUGUUUUAGAGUGUUACAAAUGAUCCGUAUGCCCGGCAUGGCAACUACUCGCGCACAAGAAUACACCCCAGUUUUUUUGCUCCCGCGAGAACCCAAAGCUUGACGUCGUUGAUGAUAGCAUGGAGAAGGACCGGAGGCGGUGCGCUCUUGUGUCGGAAGACCCGAGCAUUACGCUCGUUCCAGAUCGUCCAAGAGACUAGCAUUGUAAGUGAGGCCAAGGCUCGUCGGUUUGGGUUUUGCAAGCAGGUUCGCUUUUCCCACCAUUCCAAAACGGAUCCAUCCAAAUGCCAAGAGGAGGUGUCCAUGUGCGCUAGACCAAAUUCAAGGAUGACCGAGUUCCAUAGCCUUAUGGUGUAGCGGCAUUUGUAGAAGAGGUGUGCACCCGUCUCGCCAACACGUUUGCAAAGCGGGCAAAGUCCACAGUUUUGCCAACCGCGCCGCUCCAAUCUGUCGGCUGUCCAAAUCCGGUCUUGGAUAGCCAACCAAGCAAAAAACUUGAUCUUAGGAGGGGCCCAAGCCUUCCAGAUCAUAAAGUCCAUGGGCGAAAGUGUCAGUCCAAGAAACUGAGCCUUGUAGGCGGUGGCCGCGGAGUAGGACCCGUCGUUGGCGUGUUUCCAAAUAAUGUCAUCGUCAGUUUGUUGAUCCAAGUGUAGGUCAUGCACAAGCAUCCAUAACGUGAAGAAUUGGAGGAUGUGGGCACCGGAGACGAUGGUGUUGCGACCGAUCUUAAGAAUCCAAGCAUCUCCAUGGAGGGCCUCACGCACCUUCCAGUUCUUGCGUGAGGCCUCAUAAAUCAAAGGGGCAAUGUCCUUCGGUUUCUGCCCAAGAAGCCAUGGGGAAUCCCAAAAAGGUGUUUUGGCACCGUUGCCCAAAAUGAUGGUCGUUGAGGCAUAGAAGAAGUCCAUGUCCUCCUCCGUGCAAGGGUUCCCAAGCCCCACCCAAAGCUUGUUUGGCUCUUUCCAUUCAUACCAUGGCCACCUAAGACGUAAGGCCCAAGCAAACUUGUCAGUGUCUAGAACCCCAAGGCCUCCAUACUCCUUGGGGCGGCAAACCACCUUCCAAUUCACUUUACAUUUGGCACCGGUCGUCUUAUCUGAUCCAGACCAAAGGAAAGCCCUCUCCAAUUUGUUGAUGUUGUGAAGAGAGCGUGGUGGCACGAUGAGAGGUGUGAUGAAAUACACUGCUUGGGAGGCAAUAACCGAUCUGACAAGUGUCGUGCGCCCGAUGGUGGUGAUGUUUUGGCCGUCCCAGGUGGCAAGCUUGCCGGCCGCCUUGUCUUCAAGGUAUUGGAAAUCCACAGUCUUGAGCUGCCAGACCGAGAGUGGGAGUCCCAGAUAUUUCAUCGGGAAGGUGGCUCUAGACACGGGAACGGCACUGAGCACAUGAUCCAAGUCAACAUUGGCACAUCUGAUUGGCACAACCGAACUCUUGUGGAAGUUGGUGCAUAGACCCGUGACAUCACCGAAACCCUUCAAGAUGGUGGCGAGGUUGUCGACGUCGCUUUUGAUUGGGGCCAUGAAAAUAGCUGCGUCAUCCGCAUAUAAGGAGGUUCUCAUCAUAGCGCCUCGUCCCCGAAUCUUAUGCAGGAGGCCCUUCCUAGUUGCCAACUCAAGAAUUUGGUGAAGCGGGUCAAUUGCAAGGACGAAUAGCAGCGGCGAGAUCGGGUCCCCUUGACGAAAUCCACGACCAUGAUAGAUGGGAGGUCCGGGCAGCCCAUUGAGCAGGAAACGCGAGGAUGAGGAGCAAAGCAGUGCGGCAAUCCAGUCACGGAAUUUGCUAGGGAAACCCCUACGUUGCAGGAGGUCCAGGAUGAAUUCCCAUUUGACAGAGUCGAAGGCUUUUCUUAUGUCAAGCUUGAACAGAAGGGCAGGGGUCUUGCGCUUGUGGAGGCGUCGAGCAAAGUUCCGCACAUACAUGAAGUUGUCAUGGAUACUUCUCUUUUUUAUGAAGGCGCUUUGGGCGUUGGAGAUGAGGGCAUCCAUAUGCGGGGCAAGCCGCAAGGAGAGCACCUUAGCAAUGAUUUUGGCAAUGGCAUGGAUGAGGCUUAUAGGCCUAUAAUCGGAGAUGCCCUCCGCGCCAUCCUUCUUGGGCAAGAGCACCACAUUGGCGGAGUUCAACCAUUGAAGAUUGGACAUGUGAAGGGAGUCAAACCGGUGGAUGACUCGCAUGAUAUCAGGUUUGACGAUGGCCCAACAUUUCUUGAAAAAGAUACCCGUGAAGCCGUCUGGGCCGGGAGCCUUGCCGCUUGGCAUUUCUUUAAUGGCGUUCCAAACCUCCUCCUCAGUGAUAGUGUCAUCCAGGGUGUGAAGGUCGACCGGCUGCACGUUGAGCUCCUCCCAAUUGAAGUCAAGGUUGCUCGUGUGCCCCUUCCCCAUGACCUCAGAGAAGUGGUCAUGGAUGAUCUUUUCUUUUUCGCCAUUGUCAGUAACCCAACCGCUUGCGAGCUUGAUGCGGUGGAUGUGAUUCUUUCUUCUUCGGGCAUUGACGCGGCGGUGGAAGAACUUUGUGUUUGCAUCACCCUCCUUGAGGUUAGAGAUUAGGGCGCAUUGGCUCUUUCUGGCCCUCUGCAGAACUGCCAAACUGAUCACCCUGCGUUUUAGUCUAGCACGUAGGUCAAGCUCCUCCGGCGAUAGGGGGCGCGAUUCCUGCGCAAUGUCCAACCUUAGGAUCACGAGUAGUGCCGCGUGGAAGUGAAUGUUCGCUGCUGAGAAGAGUCUUCUACUCCACUCCUUGAGACGUAGCGCGGUCUUCUUGAGCUUGUGAUGCAAUAUGAGAUAAGGCUCCGUGUGUGACACGCCCUCGGCCCAUACCUUUUGGACAAUGUCAUGGAAUCCUGGAAGGGUGGUCCAGAAAUUUUCAAACUUGAAAGACCGAGGUCUUUUGGGUCCUUUGUCAUCAGCAAGCAAGAGAGGGCAGUGGUCGGAGAGGGAUGACGACAAGGCAUGCAACACAUGGGUGUUGAAGGUGGUGUCCCACUCGGCGUUGCAGAAGAAGGAGUCAAGUUUGCAAAGGGUGGGAUUUGUCCUCUCAUUGCUCCAGGUGAAACGCCUGUUCUGUAGAUGGAUCUCCUUGAGCUCGCAAGAUUGCAAAGCGGCACGAAAGCGAUUGAUUCUGCUACGGUUAACAUUCCGUUUGUUUUUAUCCCUGGCAUGGUAGAUUUGGUUGAAGUCUCCAGUGGCAAGCCAUGCCACUCCCGGAGGUGGCUUCUGGCUAAGCAGCUCCGCAAAGAAUGCAUCUUUGGAGGCGCUGUCGGUGGGGCCAUAGACGGACGUGAUUUUGAAGGAUGAGUCGGAAGCGCGAAUCCGCACCAUAGCAGAGAGACAAAAAGUCGAGGUGGUGAUGUCGGAGACAUGAAGGAGGCUGUCAUCCCAUAGCAUAAGGAUUCCGCCCCUGGUUCCGGUGGCCGGGCGGUGCGCGAAACUCUGAAGCUUGUUUCCACCGAGAGAAGCAGCAAUGUAUCUGCCAACGGUGCUCAACUUAGUCUCCUGGAGAAAGACCAAAUGACAAGUGGUGUCCGAUAUGGUAGCCUUGACAGUUGCUCUACGGUCUGGGCAAUUAAGCCCUCUCACAUUCCAGCUGAGUGUAUUGAUAGGCUGUUCUGUCAUGGGUGCACAGCAGAUGCCCUUUGACUAACAUAUGGAAUAACAAUAAUACAACCAGGAGGGGAUCCAAGUCCCAGGUACAUGGCCCAUGGCCGAACCUGACUAAACACCAACACACACACAAUGGGAACACGGUCCCAUCUACAAGACCCAAAGUAACUAGUGCCUAUGCACGAACUGGAUACGUGCAAACUAGUAGCAAGUGCAAUCCCCUGGAAAGCAUCAGGAUGGCGUACUAACAUAACAAACAUGAAGGCCCUAACCCAGAGACUACCUACUCAGGCGAUCGCCGGCUGCGAUCCCUGGCCAUCUUGUUCCAGCCCCACAGAGUCCAUAGCCGCUGCACCACCAUGGUCUAUCAGCGUGUCCUCGACAGCAGCAAUAGCACUAUCGUCAAGCUUGAAGAAAUCCCGCAUGGCCACAAUCACUUCAGGGGGGAGCUGCUCCUUGAAUCUCUCCGUGAACGCAUUCAGGGUCGAAGCGGUGACAUCUUCACCAUCUUUGGUUAUGCCCAGGCUGCGACAGACAAGGCGCUCAGCCACCUUUGCAACCGGGGCAGCCGGCGUGCGGUUGGAAGGGCGCCUGAUCCGUUGCAGAGAGAUCCCGCCUUCCUUGGAGAUCCUCAUGCCUGCCAAAGUCUUCCGACGGGCUGCUGGAGGGCUUGGCCUCGGUGAUGCCAUGGGUGCUUCAGAAGGUUGCACAGAUGUGAGCGGCAGGAGUGCCGGCUGUUUUGAGCAGAAGAGUGUUGCUGGAAGCUCGAGACAGGGCACAACGAGCUCCGCCAAGCCAGCGGGCAGGUCGUGUCCAGCAUCAACAAGGCGAGCACGGGUUGGCGAAGGGGUUCGCUGCAGGUUGCCGUUGCACUGGAGAGGCGGAGUGGGCGAGGCUUCAAAGCCUGGGGGCCGCAUCGGGGACAUGUCCAGAAGAGGUCGCUGCAUCAUGGUCGGCGAACAAAGCUCGAUGAGCGCCGGACUCAGGUUUUGGGAGGCCACCGCAGCAGCAUGAGCUUCGUCACGCUUGGAGGCCGGCGGGGUUCGGAGCACCGUUGUAGGAGAAAGGGGUGGUGAAGCCGAUAUGCGCCUGGCAGAGGUCGGCCGCUGCUGCCUGACCGGGCUACGGCCCCGAGCGCCGACAGCAUCCGAAGCAGGCUCAAGCUCCCCAACACGCCUGGGAGGAGCGCACAGGGAGCCAGAGCCGAGAGGCACCGGAACAGCGCCCUGGACAGCGGGCAGCCCAGAGUUGCCGCGGCGGCGAUCAUCGCAGCUCCCCUGACGCCCAUCCCAGCGUUCUCUGCCGGUGUCGCGCUGCGCAUCACGCGGAGCACGGGAGAGGCUCCAGCGGAUGCGGUCGCCCCAGCCUUGCCCGCCUCUGGACGUGCCCCGGCCGUCGCGCCCCCGGCCACGGUCCCCUUCGUCGUCCCGGUCCCUGCGGUCUUGGCGGUCCCGCAGAAUAGGACGAGAGAUGCGCUCGCGCCUGUCACGCGGCAUCGUCUCCCCAUCCACGAUGUUUGAUUUCCAGGGGUUAGGCCUGGACAUCACUUUGCCGGAGGAUGGAUCUUCAUGGAUGUCGAGGUGGACCAGGACACGAUGCUCCAGCCCCUUGCGCCCGUACACCGGGGCGCCACCGUUGCGGGCGGGGAAAGUGACCCAGCUCACCCUUGGCACCCUGCUUGGGCAUGGCGUCCACGCCCACAAAGCGAGCACAUCGGUCACCGACUUGAUCUUGGAUGCCGGCUCGAUGUAGUCCAGCGAGCAGCUGGAGCCGACGGCCUUGGCAACCGCCUCCUCGUCCCAAGCGUACAGCGGCAGCCCCUCGAGGCAGAGGCGCACGUGGUGGCGGAGGUCGACAUGCUUAGCAUGGGCUUCCAGGCGCCAGGCUCGCAUCUGAAGCUUGGUGUCGCCGAACGGGAGCUCCCGGCGGGAUGUGGCGAUGUCAGCGUGAUGCUUGUGGAUGAAACGCACCAGGAACCGCUCGGGGAAGUGGGAGACGACGAUGACAUCCGGCACCAAGGCGCCAACCUCGUCCGCAAUGACCGCAACAACCUCGUUGGUGGAGGCACGGCGGUCGCGGUCGAACCAGGCCACCACCCCGUUGGAUUCCAGGAGCGCCGCCUCCAUGUGCAUGGCCGGGGUGUUGUGGAUGAAGGCGAACACCUCCGGGCGGGCGUUGUGGUCACCAGCCCAGGCCGAAGAUGCAGCGGAGGGGGAAGCCAUGACAGCUUGGGGAGGCACGGGCGUGGCGCCGGCAGGCGGACACGAGCAGGCGCGGGAGGAGGAGCUCGACGCAGAGCGGGCGAGGGAGCACCGGGGCGCAGGUGCGGGCGCGGAGCGUGGGUGCAGCCACGCGCUAUGUGGCCGGAGCGGAAGCACCGUCUGCAGGUGACAGGGUCGCGGCAAUCCACGGCGCGAUGUCGAGGCUUGAGACAGUGGAAGUAGAGGCCUUUUAUCCAGGCGGGAGGAGGGGCGCGGGGAGUGAAGGCAGCAACAGGGGCCGGCGCAGGGCGCGGCCGCCCAUGCCUGACCUCGAUCCAUGGCGUCGUCACAUCAUCCUCGAGCCCCGCAGUCGCCGCACCGCGCGGGAGUGAUUGCUCAGCUGCGGCCUGCGCAGGGGCGGGCCGAAAGCACGCAAGCCAUCCCGAACGGUCUCCGCCAAUAACACCAUCAAUGCACGACGGGUUGGCGGAACGGCCUGAAGCAGGAGCAUUGGAGACGGUGGUUGGGAGCGCGCGGGGAAGGAGCUCGGGCGGGGUCUCCAGGACGCAGUUCACCUCAAAGUCCACGCCGGAAGGGCGACCAGGAGGCGGAGGCGGAGGAGUGCCCCAAUCUGGAUCUGGAUCAGAUUCCCGCGAAGCCGGCCGCGGAGAGCGCUGCGGGUCAGGGAAGCCCCAGGGAAGCGGCUGGGACGGACGGGCAGGGCAGGCCAGGUAGGAGAGCGGCUGGGGCUGUGCGGUGGCCGGCGGCGCUGGAGUGAAUGCCGCCGGUAUGGGCCAGUGGGCGAUGGGUUGGGGCGGGUCGGGAGCGGACAUGAUGCUACUACGUCACAACUUUAGCAACUGAUCCAAAUUUGCAUGUUUCAUGCAGUGCUGGGCUACAGUUAGGGUGUGCAGAACUAGCGCAUGAACAACAACAGCGGUGGCGCACCGUUAGGUGAGUGCAGAGACGAGCUGUCGAUAUGUCGGCAGCGGUGCUGUGCCACCGACUGAUACCACUAUUCACGGUCUGAUCACUGCGACAUACGAUACGAACCGAGAUUGCAGAGUGCAUGCGCAGCAGGAGGAACAUCUUCGUGUCCGAAGUUGUUGGCCAGAAAAAAAGGAUACGUACAGUAGCCCAGCCCUGCACUGGCGCCCCUGCCGUUUCCUGAAUUCAGACUUACAGGAAUGCGUUCUUCUUCUUGUGCAGCCUGCAGGGAAGGAAUGCGUCCAGCUCUUGCUCCAGCGUGCUGCGUCUCGCGCGGUGAUCACCAAGGAGAUCAUAAUGAACUUGGAUUGCCCCAUGAAUUUGUCCCCUCUGAGGCUCUGACCGGCGAGAUGGUGACAGUGUUUUGAAAGAGAGACGCACCGUACUUACUCUCUCUGUUUGUUUUUAGUCUGCAUAUAAGAUUUGGUCAAAAUUAAACUUUGUAAAGUUUGAAAAAAUAUUAACAUCUGCAAUAUUAAAGCUAUAUGGUACGAAAAUUAAUUUCAUGAUGCAUCUAAUAAUAUUGAUUUCAUAUUGUGAAUUUUGAUAUUUUUUCUAUAAACUUAGUCAAAGUUGACAAAGUUUGAUUUUGAUCAAAUCUUAUAUGCAAACUAAAAAAACGGAGGAAGUACCUGCGGCAAAUUUACAUACAUCUUUACACAUUCACCGCUCGAACAGGGCCAUCUCGCGUGAAACGUCGUCCGUGUUCCAAACACGUACGCCGUCCUUUUUCCAGCUUCCAAGCUUUGCGUGGCAAGCCGUUCAGUCCUGUUGCUGCAUGCGCCGGCCUGCCACAGCGAGUCGUCACGUACGUACGUAGUACGUGUGGACUGUGGACCGACUGUGCUGGUGCUGAUGCCGCCGUGCGGGCGCGCGCGCGACGGCAGAUCCGUUGCUGCUUUCUGCUCUGCCGUUUCUCGAUCGGCUCAGAAAUGGGACCUUCUGUUCGGAGGCGGGCGGGCGAGUCGAUCGGCGUGACGCGCGCAAUGCUGGCCUGCACGUACACCCCAGUUACGUACUGUACGUGGUGGAAGUUGUACUUGAGUUACCCGUGUGCCGUGCAUGUGCACUUCUGCACUCUCUCAGCUCUAGAUCCAGCGUCGGCGUGGAGCUUGAGAUGUAGUUUAGGAGCGGAUGCAGAUUGUGGUCUGCAUCGACGACAUUUGAAAGACGAAACGUGUGCUGAGGUCGUAGUUCGUGGAUGGCAGAUAUGGUUUCCUCCUUCGGCGUCUUGGUCGUGGUGGAAGUAGUACUGCCUGUACUUGAGUUACCCGUGUGCUGUGCAUCUUCUGCAUUCUCUCGCUCAAGAGUUAGGUCUAAGGGCAUCCCCAACGCUCACCCUUAAACUAUCCAACACAGAUCUGUAUUGGUUCGCCAAGCGGUUCGAACAUACUUUCCGGCAAACACGAGACAAACAUGAGGGCUUUGGGGAAGUCCGGCAACAGCCACGUAGGCCUCCGACACCCCGGCCCACCCAUAACUUUUCCCAGACCCUGCACCUCCAUCCUCCCCAUUUUCUCUUCUUCUUUCUCUCUUGCCUUCGCCGCCGCUCCAUCAUCCCGGUCGGCACGCCACACCCCUGCCGGAACUCUACGUCUUCGUCACCUCUAGCGUUUCAGUCGGGCCCCACCCCGCUUCUCCUCCGUCGCCAUUCAACCCCUCUCCUCCGACCGCCUCGCCAGGUACCAUCCGCUACUGCUUUACUCACCAUACCCGACAACUAUUCGAUGAAUUGCCGGGGCUAAAAAAGUUGUCCCUUCUUCUUUCAAGCAAUGGAUUCCGAUUUGGAGCACAUAUACGAGCACUAUGUUGAGUCGUCCGACGGCUUGUCCGACGAGGAGGACUACAUGGACGAGACAGAGAUGAUGCAGGCGGUCCAUGAAGACGCGGAGCGUGCGGAGGAGCAUGUUCUCAAUUUCAAGGGAUCGGUGAAGGGCCAUCGAGUGCUCAACCGCAACAUGGCACGCGGCCAUUUGAUACUGAUGGACGACUACUUUUACCCCGAUGCACUCUUCGCUGACCAUUUUUGUGAAGGAAAUAUGCCCUAGAGGCAAUAAUAAAGUUAUUAUUUAUUUCCUUAUUUCAUGAUAAAUGUUUAUUAUUCAUGCUAGAAUUGUAUUAACCGAAAACUUAGUACAUGUGUGAAUACAUAGACAAACAGAUAUCACUAGUAUGCCUCUACUUGACUAGCUCCUUGAAUCAAAGAUGGUUAAGUUUCCUGGCCAUGGACAUGAGUUGUCAUUUGAUUAACGGGAUCACAUCAUUAGAGAAUGAUGUGAUUGACUUGACCCAUUCCAUUAGCUUAGCACUUGUUCAUUUAGUAUGUUGCUAUUGCUUUCUUCAUGACUUGUACAUGUUCCUGUGACUAUGAGAUUAUGCAACUCCCGGAUACCGGAGGAACACCUUGUGUGCUAUCAAACGUCACAACAUAACUGGGUGAAUAUAAAGAUGCUCUACAGGUGUCUCCGAAAGUGUUUGUUGGGUUGGCAUAGAUCGAGAUUAGGAUUUGUCACUCCGAUUGUCGGAGAGGUAUCUCUGGGCCCUCUCGGUAAUACACAUCACUAUAAGCCUUGCAAGCAAUGUGACUAAUGAGUUAGUUGCGGGAUGAUGCAUUACGAAACGAGUAAAGAGACUUGCCGGUAACGAGAUUGAACUAGGUAUUGAGAUACCGACGAUCGAAUCUCGGGCAAGUAACAUACUGAUGAUAAAGGGAACAACGUAUGUUGUUAUGCGAUUUGACCGAUAAAGAUCUUCGUAGAAUAUGUAGGAGCCAAUAUGAGCAUCCAGGUUCCGCUAUUGGUUAUUGACCGGAGACGUGUCUCAGUCAUGUCUACAUAGUUCUCGAACCCGUAGGGUCCGCACGCUUAACGUUCGGUGACAAUCGGUAAUAUGAGUUUAUGUGUCUUGAUGUACCGAAGGUAGUUCGGAGUCCCAGAUAUGAUUAUGGACAUGACGAGGAGUCUUGAAAUGGUCGAGACGUAAAGAUCGAUAUAUUGGAUGACUAUGUUCCGACACCGGAAGUGUUUCGGGAGGUUUCGGGCAAAUACCGGAGUACCGGGGGUUACCGGAACCCCCCGGGGAGUAUAUUGGGCCUAAUGGGCCUUAGUGGAGAAGAGGAGGGGCCGCCAGGGCAGGCCGGGUGCCCCCUCCCCCUCUAGUCCGAAUUGGACAAGGAGGGGGGGGGGGGCGGCGCCCCCUUUCCUUCCCCUCUCUCUCCUCCUUCCCCCUUCUCCUACUCCCACUAGGAAAGGAGGAGUCCUACUCCCGACUCCCCCCUUGGCGUGCCCUCCUCCUUGGCCGGCCGCCUCCCCCCUAGCUCCUUUAUAUACGGGGGCAGGGGGCACCCUAGAACACACAAGUUGAUCAUUGAUCUCUCCCAUCCGUGUGCGGUGCCCCCCUCCACCAUAAUCCACCUCGGUUAUAUCGUAGCGGUGCUUAGGCGAAGCCCUGCGACGGUAGCUUCAUCAACAUCGUCACCACGCUAUCGUGCUGACAAAACUCUCCCUCGAGCUCUACUGGAUCGUGAGUUCGCGGGACGUCACCGAGCUGAACGUGUGCUGAACGCGGAGGUGCCGUACGUUCGGUACUGAGGAUCGGUCGAUCGUGAAGACGUACGACUACAUCAACCGCGUUGUCAUAACGUUUCCGCUUAACGGUCUACGAGGGUACGUGGACGACACUCUCCCCUCUCGUUGUUAUGCAUCACCAUGAUCUUGCGUGUGCGUAGGAUUUUUUUGAAAUUACUACGUUCCUCAAAAGUGACAUCCGAGCCAGGUUUAUGCGUAGAUGUUAUAUGCACGAGUAGAACACAAGUGAGUUGUGGGCGAUACUAGUUGUACUGCUUACCAACAUGUCAUAGUUUGAUUCGGCGGUAUUGUUGGAUGAAGCGGCCCAGACCGACAUUACGCGUACGCUUACGCGAGACUGGUUCUACCAAUGUGCUUCGCACACAGGUGGCUGGCGGGUGUCAGUUUCUCCAACUUUAGUUGAACCGAGUGUGGCUACGCCCGGUCCUUGAGAAGGUUAAAACAGCACUAACUUGACGAACUAUCGUUGUGGUUUUGAUGCGUAGGUAAGAACGGUUCUUGGUCAGCUCGUAGCAGCCACGUAAAACUUGCAACAACAAAGUAGAGGACGUCUAACUUGUUUUUGCAGGGCAUGUUGUGAUGUGAUAUGGUCAAGACAUGAUGCUAAAUUUUAUUGUAUGAGAUGAUCAUGUUUUGUAACAAAGUUAUCGGCAACUGGCAGGAGCCAUAUGGUUGUCGCUUUAUUGUAUGCAAUGCAAUUGCCCUGUAAUUGCUUUACCUUAUCACUAAGCCGUAGUGAUAGUCGUAGAAGCAAUAGUUGGCGAGACGACAACGAUGCUAUGAUGGAGAUCAAGGUGUCGCGCCGGUGACGAUGGUGAUCAUGACGGUGCUUUGGAGAUGGAGAUCACAGGCACAAGAUGAUGAUGGCCAUAUCAUAUCACUUAUAUUGAUUGCAUGUGAUGUUUAUCUUUUAUGCAUCUUAUUUUGCUUAGAUCGACGGUAGCAUUAUAAGAUGAUCUCUCACUAAAUUUCAAGGUAUAAGUGUUCUCCCUGAGUAUGCACUGUUGCGAAAGUUCUUCGUGCCGAGACACCACAUGAUGAUCGGGUGUGAUGAGCUCUAUGUUCACAUACAACGGGUGUAAGCCAGUUUUACACACGCAGAAUACUCGGGUUAAACUUGACGAGCCUAGCAUAUGCAGAUAUGGCCUCGGAACACCGAGACCGAAAGGUCGAGCGUGAAUCAUAUAGUAGAUAUGAUUGAAGGAAAUAUGCCUAGAGGCAAUAAUAAAGUUAUUAUUUAUUUUCUUAUAUCAUGAUAAAUGUUUAUUAUUCAUGCUAGAAUUAUAUUAACCGGAAACAUAAUACAUGUGUGAAUACAUAGACAAACAGAGUGUCACUAGUAUCCCUCUACUUGACUAGCUCGUUGAUCAAAGAUGGUUAAGUUUCCUAGCCAUUGACAUGGGUUGUCAUUUGAUUAACGGGAUCACAUCAUUAGGUGAAUGAUGUGAUUGACUUGACCCAUUCCGUUAGCUUAGCACUCAAUCGUUUAGUAUGUUGCUAUUGCUUUCUUCAUGACUUAUACAUGUUCCUAUGACUAUGGGAUUAUGCAACUCCCGUUUACCGGAGGAACACUUUGUGUGCUACCAAACGUCACAACGUAACUGGGUGAUUAUAAAGGUGCUCUACAGGUGUCUCAGAAGGUACUUGUUGGGUUGGCGUAUUUCGAGAUUAGGAUUUGUCACUUCGAUUGUCGGAGAGGUAUCUUUAGGCCCACUCGGUAAUGCACAUCACUUAAGCCUUGCAAGCAUUGAAACUAAUGAGUUAGUUGCGGGAUGAUGUAUUACGGAACGAGUAAAGAGACUUGCCGGUAACGAGAUUGAACUAGGUAUUGAGAUACCGACGAUCGAAUCUCGGGCAAGUAACAUACCGAUGACAAAGGGAACAACGUAUGUUGUUAUGCGGUCUGACCGAUAAAGAUCUUCAUAGAAUAUGUGGGAGCCAAUAUGAGCAUCCAGGUUCCGCUAUUGGUUAUUGACCGGAGACGUGUCUCGGUCAUGUCUACAUAGUUCUCGAACCCGUAGGGUCCGCACGCUUAACGUUUCGAUGACGGUAAUAUUAUGAGUUUAUGUGUUUUGAUGUACCGAAGGUAGUUCGGAGUCCCGGAUGAGAUCGGGGACAUGACGAGGAGUCUCGAAAUGGUCGAGACGUAAAGAUCGAUAUAUUGGACGACUAUAUUCAGACAUCGGAAAGGUUCCGAGUGAUUCGGGUAUUUUUCGGAGUACCGGGGAGUUACGGGAAUACGGGAAAGAAGUAUUGGGCCUUAAUGGGCCUUAGUGGGAAGUAGAGGCAGCAACCAGGAGGUGGCGCGCGCCCCUCCCAAGCCCAGUCCAAAUUGGACAAGGGGUUUGGGGCGCGACCCCCCUCUCCCUUCCUUCUCCUCUUCCCCCCUUUCCCCCCUACUCCUAGUUGGACUAGGAAAGGAGGAAACCUACUCCCACUAGGAGUAGGAAUCCUACCCCCUUGGCACGCCCUCCUCCUAGGCCGGCCGCCUCCCCCCGUGCUCCUUUAUAUACGGGGGCAGGGGGGGACCCCAAAGACACAACAACUGAUCGUUUGAUCUUUUAGCCGUGUGCGGUGCCCCCCUCCACCAUAGUCCACCUCGAUAAUACUGUAGCGGUGCUUAGGCGAAGCCCCGCGUCAGUAGAACAUCAUCAUCGUCACCACGCCGUCGUGCUGACGAAACUCUCCCUCAACACUUGGCUGGAUCGGAGUUCGAGGGACGUCAUCGGGCUGAACGUGUGCUGAACUCGGAGGUGCCGUGCGUUCGGUACUUGAUCGGUCGGAUCGUGAAGACGUACGACUACAUCAACCGCGUUGUGCUAACGCUUCCGCUUUCGGUCUAUGAGGGUACGUGGACAACACUCUCCCCUCUCGUUGCUAUGCAUCACCAUGAUCUUGCGUGUGCGUAAUUUUUUUUUGAAAUUACUACGUUCCCCAACAAUGAUCAACAUAGUGAUGUUCACCAUUGAAAACUAAUCCAUCUCACGUGAUGAUCGGACAUGGUUUUGUUGAUAUGGAUCACGUGAUCACUUAGAUGAUUAGAGGGAUGUCUAUCUAAGUGGGAGUUCUUAAGUAAUAUGAUUAAUUGAACUUUAAUUUAUCAUGAACUUAGUCCUGGUAGUAUUAGCAUAUCUAUGUUGUAGAUCAAUAGCUCGCGUUUAGCUCCCCUGUUUUAUUUUUGAUAUGUUCCUAGAGAAAACUAAGUUGAAAGAUGUUAGUAGCAAUGAUGCAGAUUGGAUCCGUGAUCUGAGGAUUAUCCUCAUUGCUGCACAGAAGAAUUAUGUUCUUGAUGCACCGCUAGGUGACCGACCGAUUGCAGGAGCAGAUGCAGACGUUAUGAACGUUUGGCAAGCUCGAUAUGAUGACUACUUGAUAGUUUAGUGCACCAUGCUUUACGGCUUAGAAUUGGGGCUUCAAAGACGUUUUGAACGCCACGGAGCAUAUGAGAUGUUCCAAGAGUUGAAAUUAGUAUUUCAGACUCAUGCCCAUGUCAAAAGUUAUGAGACCUUUGACAAAUACUUUGCCUACAAGAUGGAGGAGAAUAGCUCAGCUAGUGAGCAUAUGCUCAGAAUGUCUGAGUACUACAAUCACUUAAAUCAAGUGGGAGUUAAUCUUCCAGAUAAGAUAGUGAUUGACAGAGUUCUCUAGUCACUAUCACCAAGUUACUAGAACUUCGUGAUGAACUAUAAUAUGCAAGGGAUAACGGAAACGAUUCCCAAGCUCUUCAUGAUGCUGAAAUCAACGAAGGUAGAAAUCAAGAAAAUCAUCAAGUGUUGAUGGUUGACAAGACCACUAGUUUCAAGAAAAGGGCAAAGGGAAGAAGGGGAACUUCAAAAAGAACGGCAAGCAAGUUGCUGCUCUUGUGAAGAAGCCCAAAGCUAGACCCAAGCCUGAAACUGAGUGCUUCUACUGCAAAAGAAAUGGUCACUGGAAGUGGAACUGCCCUAGAUACUUGGCGGAUAAGAAGGAUGGCAAAGUGAACAAAGUUAUAUUUGAUAUACAGACUAUUGAUGUGUAUUUUACUAGUGUUCAUAGCAACCCCUCGGUAUUUGAUACUGGUUCAGUUGCUAAGAGUAGUAACUCGAAACGGGAGUUGCAGAAUGAACAGAGACUAGUUAAGGGCGAGGUGACGAUGUGUGUUGGAAGUAGUUCCAAGAUUGAUAUGAUCAUCAUCACACACUCCCUAUACUUUCGGGAUUAGUGUUGAACCUAAAUAAGUGUUAUUUGGUGUUUGCGUUGAGCAUGAAUAUGAUUCGAUCAUGUUUAUUGCAAUACGGUUGUUCAUUUAAGUUAGAGAACAAUUGUUGUUCUGUUUACAUGAAUAAAACCUUCUAUGGUCAUACACCCAAUGAAGAUGGUUUGUUGGAUCUCGAUUGUAGUAAUACACAUAUUCAUAAUAUUGAAGCCAAAAGAUGCAAAGUUAAUAAUGAUAGUGCAACUUAUUUGUGGCACUACCGUUUAGGUCAUAUUGGUGUAACGCAUGAAGAAACUCCAUGCUGAUUGGAUUUUGGAAUCACUUGAUUAUGAAUCACUUGAUGCUUGCGAACCAUGCCUUAUGGGCAAGAUGGCUAAAACUCCGUUCACCAGAACAUUGGAGCGAGCAACUGACUUAUUGGAAAUAAUACAUACUGAUGUAUGCGAUCCGAUGAGUGUUGAGGCUCGCGGCGGGUAUCGUUAUUUUCUGACCUUCACAGAUGAUUUGAGCAGAUAUGGGUAUAUCUACUUGAUGAAACAUAAGUCUGGAACAUUUGAAAAGUUCAUAUAAUUUCAAAGUGAAGAGGAAAACCAUCGUAACAAGAAAAUAAAAUUUCUACGAUCUGAUCGUGGAGGAGAAUAUUUGAGUUACGAGUUUGGUCUUCAUUUGAAACAAUGCAGAAUAGUUUCGCAACUCACGCCACCUGGAACACCAUAGCGUAAUGGUGUGUCCGAACAUCGUAAUCAUACUUUAUUAAGUAUAGUGCAAUCUAUGAUGUCUCUUACCGAUUUACCACUAUCGUUUUGGGGUUAUGCAAUAGAGACAGCUGCAUUCACGUUAAAUAGGGCACCAUCUAAAUCCGUUGAGACGACACCAUAUGAACCGUGGUUUGGCAAGAUACCAAAGUUGUCGUUUCUUAAAGUUUGGGGUUGCGAUGCUUAUGUGAAAAAGUUUCAUCCUGAUAAGCUCAAACCCAAAUCGGAGAAAUGUGUCUUCGUAGGAUACCCAAAGGAGACAGUUGGGUACACCUUCUAUCACAGAUCCGAAGGCAAGACAUUCGUUGCUAAGAAUGGAUCCUUUCUAGAUAAGGAGUUUCUCUCGAAAGAAGUGAGUGGGAGGAAAGUAGAAGUUGAUGAGGUAACUGUACCUACUCCCUUAUUGGAAAGUAGUUCAUCACAGAAAUCUGUUCCCGUGACUCCUACACCAAUUAGUAAGGAAGCUAAUGAUGAUGAUCAUGUAACUUCAGAUCAAGUUACUACCGAACCUCGUAGGUCAACCAGAGUGAGAUCCACACCAGAGUGGUACGGUAAUCCUGUUCUGGAGGUCAUGUUACUUGACCAUGACGAACCUACGAACUAUGAGGAAGCGAUGACGAGCCCAGAUUCCGCGAAAUGACUUGAGGCCAUGAAAUCUGAGAUGGGAUCCAUGUAUGAAAACAAAGUGUGGACUUUGGUUGACUUGUCCGAUGAUCGGCAAGCCAUAGAAAAUAAAUGGAUCUUCAAGAGGAAGACAGACGCUGAUAGUAGUGUUACUAUCUACAAAGCUAGACUUGUCGAAAAAGGUUUUGACAAAGUUCAAGGUGUUGACUACGAUGCGAUUUUCUCACUCGUAGCGAUGCUUAAGUCUGUCCGAAUCAUGUUAGCAAAUUGCCACAUUUUAUGAAAUCAGGCAAAUGGAUGUCGAAACUACAUUCCUUAAUGGAUAUCUUAAAGAAGAGUUGUAUAUGAUGCAACCAGAAGGUUUUGUCGAUCCUAAAGGUGCUAAUAAAAUGUGCAAGCUCCAGCGAUCCAUCUAUGGACUGGUGCAAGCAUUUCGGAGUUGGAAUAUACGCUUUGAUGAGUUGAUCAAAGCAUAUAGUUUUAUACAGACUUGUGGUGAAGCUUGUAUUUACAAGAAAGUGAGUGGGAGCACUACAACAUUUCUGAUAAAUAUAUGUGAAUGACAUAUUGUUGAUCGGAAAUAAUGUAGAAUUUUUUGGAAAGCAUAAAGGAGUAUUUGAAAGGAGUUUUUCAAAGAAAGACCUCCGUGAAGCUGCUUACAUAUUGAGCAUCAAGAUCUAUAGAGAUAGAUCAAGACGUUUGAUAAGUUUUUUCAAUGAGUACAUACCUUGACAAGAUUUUGAAGUAGUUCAAAAUGGAACAGUCAAAGAAAGAGUUCUUGCCUGUGUUACAAGGUGUGAAAUUGAGUAAGACUCAAAACCCGACCACGGCAAAAGAUAGAAAGAGAAUGAAAGUCAUUCCCUAUGCCUCAGCCAUAGGUUCUAUAAAGUAUGCCAUGCUGUGUACCAGAUCUAUUGUAUACCCUACAUUGAGUUUGGCAAGGGAGUACAAUAGUGAUCUAGGAGUAGAUCACUAAACAGUGGUCAAAAUUAUCCUUAGUGGAAUAAGGAAAUAUUUCUCGGUUAUGGAGGUGAUAAAGAGUUCGCCGUAAAGAGUUACGUCAAUGCAAGCUUUGACACCGAUCUGGAUGACUCUAAGUCACAAUCCGGAUACAUAUUGAAAGUGGGAGCAAUUAGCUAAAGUAGCUUUGCGGAGAGCAUUGUAGACAUAGAAAUUUGCAAAAUACAUACGGAUCUGAAUGUUGCAGACCCGUAGACUAAAAUUUCUCUCACAGGCAAAACAUGAUCAUACCUUAUUACUCUUUGGGUGUUAAUCAUAUUGCAAUGUGAACUAGAUUAUUGACUAGAGUAAACCCUUUGAGUGUUUGGUCACAUGGUGAUGUGAACUAUGGGUGUUAAUCACAUGAUGACAUGGACUAUUGGUGUUAAAUCACAUGGCGAUGUGAAGUAGAUUAUUGACUCUAGUGCAAGUGGGAGACUGAAGGAAAUAUGCCCUAGAGGCAAUAAUAAAGUUAUUAUUUAUUUCCUUAUUUCAUGAUAAAUGUUUAUUUUUCAUGCUAGAAUUGUAUUAACCGGAAACUUAGUACAUGUGUAAAUACAUAGACAAACAGAGUGUCACUAGUAUGCCUCUACUUGACUAGCUCGUUGAAUCAAAGAUGGUUAAGUUUCCCGGCCAUAGACAUGAGUUGUCAUUUGAUUAACGGGAUCACAUCAUUAGAGAAUGAUGUGAUUGACUUGACCCAUUCCGUUAGUUUAGCACUUGAUCAUUUAGUAUGUUGCUAUUGCUUUCUUCAUGACUUAUACAUGUUCCUAUGACUAUGAGAUUAUGCAACUCCUGAAUACCGGAGGAACACCUUGUGUGCUAUCAAACGUCACAACGUAACUGGGUGAUUAUAAAGUUGCUCUACAGGUGUCUCCGAAGGUGUUUGUUGGGUUGGCAUAGAUCGAGAUUAGGAUUUGUCACUCCGAUUGUCGGAGAGGUAUCUCUGGGCCCUCUCGGUAAUGCACAUCACUAUAAGCCUUGCAAGCAAUGUAACUAAUGAGUUAGUUGUGGGAUUAUGCAUUACGGAACGAGUAAAGAGACUUGCCGGUAACGAGAUUGAACUAGGUAUUGAGAUACCGACGAUCGAAUCUCGGGAAAGUAACAUACCGAUGACAAAGGGGACAACGUAUGUUGUUAUGCGAUUUGACCGAUAAAGAUGUUCGUAGAAUAUGUAGGAGCCAAUAUGAGCAUCCAGGUUCCGCUAUUGGUUAUUGACCGGAGACAUGUCUCGGUCAUGUCUACAUAGUUCUCGAACCCGUAGGGUCCGCACGCUUAACGUUUGGUGACGAUCGGUAUUAUGAGUUUAUGUGAUUUGAUGUACCGAAGGUUGUUCGGAGUCCCGGAUGAGAUCGGGGAUAUAACGAGGAGUCUCGAAAUGGUCGAGACGUAAAGAUCGAUAUAUUGGAUGACUAUGUUCAGACACCGGAAGUGUUUCGGGAGGUUUCGGGCAAAUACCGGAGUACCGGGGGUUACCGGAACCCCCCGGGGAGUAUAUUGGGCCUAAUGGGCCUUAGUGGAGAAGAGGAGGGGCCGCCAGGGCAGGCCGGGUGCCCCAUCCCCCUCUAGUCCGAAUUGGACAAGGAGGGGGGGGCGCCCCCUUUCCUUCCCCUCUCUCUCCUCCUUCCCCCUUCUCCUACUCCCACUAGGAAAGGAGGAGUCCUACUCCCGACUCCCCCCUUGGCGCGCCCUCCUCCUUGGCCGGCCGCCUCCCCCUAGCUCCUUUAUAUACGGGGGCAGGGGGCACCCUAGAACACACAAGUUGAUCAUUGAUCUCUCCCAGCCGUGUGCGGUGCCCCCCUCCACCAUAAUCCACCUCGGUUAUAUCGUAGCGGUGCUUAGGCGAAGCCCUGCGAUGGUAGCUUCAUCAACAUCGUCACCACGCCGUCAUGCUGACAAAACUCUCCCUCGAGCUCUACUGGAUCGUGAGUUCGCGGGACGUCACCGAGCUAAAUGUGUGCUGAACGCGGAGGUGCCGUACGUUCUGUACUGAGGAUCGGUCAAUCGUGAAGACGUACGAACACAUCAACCGUGUUGUCAUAACGCUUCCGCUUAACGGUCUACGAGGGUACGUGGACGACACUCUCCCCUCUCGUUGCUAUGCAUCACCAUGAUCUUGCGUGUGCGUAGGAAUUUUUUUGAAAUUACUACGUUCCUCAACAUUUUGCUUUUGGAUUUGCAUGACUCUUUGAUUGUUUGUAUCAUGGCGUCCGGUCCUAUGAUGACUACUUUCAUCUUGAAGAAGGACGUCAUGCGAACGAUUGGAUUUUGUGGUUACCAAAAGGGCACAACCGCACUCCGGAUGCUUGCAUAUGGCACGGCCGCUGAUUCGUGGGACGAGUACCUACGAAUGUCUGAGAGCACAUGCGGAGUUGCCAUGGUUAGGUUUGCAACUGCCAUGGCCGAGGUGUUUGGACCUCAGUACCUAAGAGAACCAACCGUGCCAGACACCGAGAGGCUCUUGGCAAUCUCAGAAGCAAGAGAGAGGCCAGGUUUGCUUGGAAAUGAAAGAACUGCCCGAAGGCUUUACAUGGGCAAUAUCAGGGUCAUGUUAAGAAUCCCACCAUUAUUUUUGAAGCAGUCGCAUCACAUGAUCUUUGGAUUUGGCACGCUUUCUUUGGCAUGUCUUGGUCUCACAAUGACAUCAAUGUGCUGCAGCGAUCGUCAUUGUUUUGAAGGAAAUAUGCCCUAGAGGCAAUAAUAAAGUUAUUAUUUAUUUCCUUAUAUCAUGAUAAAUGUUUAUUAUUCAUGCUAGAAUUGUAUUAACCAGAAACAUGAUACAUGUGUGAAUACAUAGACAAACAGAGUGUCACUAGUAUGCCUCUACUUGACUAGCUCGUUGAUCAAAGAUGGUUAUGUUUCCUAACCAUAGACAUGAGUUGUCAUUUGAUAAAUGGGAUCACAUCAUUAGGAGAAUGAUGUGAUUGACUUGACCCAUUCCGUUAGCUUAGCACUUGAUCGUUUAGUAUGUUGCUAUUGCUUUCUUCAUGACUUAUACAUGUUCCUAUGACUAUGAGAUUAUGCAACUCCCGAAUACCGGAGGAACACUUUGUGUGCUACCAAACGUCACAACGUAACUGGGUGAUUAUAAAGGUGCUCUACAGGUGUCUCCAAAGGUACUUGUUGAGUUGGCAUAUAUCGAGAUUAGGAUUUGUCACUCCGAUUGUCGGAGAGGUAUCUCUGGGCCCACUCGGUAAUGCACAUCACUAUAAGCCUUGCAAGCAUUGUAACUAAUGAGUUAGUUGCGGGAUGAUGUAUUACGGAACGAGUAAAGAGACUUGCCGGUAACGAGAUUGAACUAGGUAUUGAGAUACCGACGAUUGAAUCUCGGGCAAGUAACAUACCGAUGACAAAGGGAACAAUGUGUGGUGUUAUGCGGUUUGACCGAUAAAGAUCUUCGUAGAAUAUGUGGGAGCCAAUAUGAGCAUCCAUGUUCCUCUAUUGGUUAUUGACCGGAGACGUGUCUCGGUCAUGUCUACAUAGUUCUCGAACCCAUAGGGUCUGCACGCUUAAAGCUCGAUGAUGAUCGGUAUUAUGAGUUUUUGUGUUUUGAUGUACCGAAGGUAGUUCGGAGUCCCGGAUAUGAUCAUGGACAUGACGAGGAGUCUUGAAAUGGUCAAGACGUAAAGAUCGAUAUAUUGGACGACUAUAUUCGGACACCGGAAGUGUUCCGGGUGGUUUCGGAGAAAACCGGAGUGCCGGAGGGUUACCGAACCCCCCCGGGAGAAAUAGUGGGCCUUAUGGGCCUUAGUGGAGAAAGAGAGGGCUGGCCUAGGGUAGGCCGCGCACCCCUUCCCCUCUGGUCCGAAUUGGACUAGGAGAGGGGGGGGGGGGCGGUGCCCCCCUUUCCUUCUCCCUGUCCCCCUUCCUUUCCCCCUCCUAGUAGGAGUAGGAAAGAGGGGAGUCCUACUCCUACUAGGAGGAGGACUCCUCCUCCUGGCGCGCCCCAUUGGGACGGCCGGCCUCCCCCCUUGCUCCUUUAUAUAUGGGGGCAGGGGGCACCUCUAGACACACAAGUUGAUCUGUUGAUCUCUCCUAGCCGUGUGCGGUGCCCCCCUCCACCAUAAUCCACCUCAAUCAUAUCGUAGCGGUGCUUAGGCGAAGCCCUGCGUCGGUAGCAUCAUCAUCACCGUCAUCACGCCGUCGUGCUGACGAAACUCUCCUGCGAAGCUUUGCUGGAUCGGAGCUUGCGGGACGUCAUCGAGUUGAACGUGUGCUGAACUCGGAGGUGCCGUGCGUUCGGUACUUGGAUCGGUCGAACCGUGAAGACGUACGACUACAUCAACCGCGUUGUGCUAACGCUUCCGCUUUCGGUCUACGAGGGUACGUGGACACACUCUCCCCUCUCGUUGCUAUGCAUCACCAUGAUCCUGUGUGUGCAUAGGAAUUUUUUUGAAAUUACUACAUUCCCCAACAUGUUUGCCAUACUGGCUGAAGGAAAAACUCCUCCUUGCCACUAUAUUUUCAUUGGACAUGAGUACAACAUGGACCACCAUCUGGUUGACAGUAUCUAUCCUCCGUGGGCUACCUUUGUCAACACCAUCUCUAACUCAGUUGGCCAGAAAAAGUCUCACUUUGCCCAAAGGCAAGAAGAAGCUAGAAAGGAUUUCGAGAGGGCAUUUGAAGUUAUGCAGGCCCGUUUUGCAGUUGUUUGUGGACCUACUAAACAAUGGGAUCCGGAGACCUUGUGGGAGGUGAUGACAUAUUGUGUAAUCAUGCACAACAUGAUCGUCGAGGAUGAGGGUGAGGAGCUGCCGCAACUCUAGAAUUUGAGAACAUGGGUGAUCCUAUCGAACUUCCAGAGCAGAAUCCGACCACGUUUGAAGAGUUUAUUCCAAUGCAUCAACAAAUUCGGCAUUGAGCAACUCACAAGCAGCCGAAGGAAGAUCCGAUUAAGCAUCUGUGGAUGGUUAAAGGGGAUAACAAUGUUGGGAUGUAAUAUUUCAACUACUACUGCAU
Molecule: long non-coding RNA, 28638 nt
Filed under: Triticum aestivum (bread wheat)
Lineage: Eukaryota; Viridiplantae; Streptophyta; Magnoliopsida; Poales; Poaceae
Description: long non-coding RNA (TAES_LNC013043)
Source: RNAcentral